Molecule: ribosomal RNA, 253 nt
Filed under: uncultured bacterium
Lineage: Bacteria
Description: partial 16S ribosomal RNA
Rfam family: Bacterial small subunit ribosomal RNA
Source: RNAcentral
UACGUAGGGCGCAAGCGUUGUCCGGAAUUAUUGGGCGUAAAGAGCUCGUAGGCGGCCUGUCGCGUCCGCUGUGAAAUCCCGGGGCUUAACCCCGGGCGUGCAGUGGAUACGGGCUGGCUGGAGGCAGGCAGGGGAGAACGGAAUUCCCGGUGUAGCGGUGAAAUGCGCAGAUAUCAGGAGGAACACCGGUGGCGAAGGCGGGUCUCUGGGCAGUAACUGACGCUGAGGAGCGAAAGCGUGGGGAGCGAACAGG